Non-coding RNA from Megalobrama amblycephala (Wuchang bream), 699 nucleotides. NCBI's taxonomy places the organism in Eukaryota, Metazoa, Chordata, Actinopteri, Cypriniformes, Xenocyprididae. The record is from the annotation of a RefSeq genome assembly.
AUUACAGAUACUGUACGAGUCCUCAGUGAUUCAUGAAGGUCUGAACGUGUUUGUUUUCACCCAGCAGAGGGCGUUCUUCUCAUUUCUGUAGUCCUCAUGUACACAAUGAGCUCAAGACUCAUCAUGGAAGGUCAAAUCUUGCCACAGGGUGGAGCUCCAGACUUAAAUCACAGUGUUUCAGUGAGAAAAGACACAUCUGAGUUUGUCAUUUCAUUCCAUCAUGCUGCUCUGUGCACUUGGAAUAUUUGCAGUACUUGCAGGAGACUCUCUUGGUGAUGUAAUAACAUCUCGUGAUUCUGAAAAAGAAGCUCAAGAUGGUAACAGUGUUUCUCUCUCCUGCAACUACAGUGGUGUUGUUCUCAAUCUACUGUGGUAUCGUCAGUAUCAGAGAUCCAAACCAGAACUCCUUCUCUCCAUCACUGAAUCUGGAGAUGCAGUUAAAGCAGAUCCAUCAGCCCACUGGUUUUCUCCUAAAGUUGACAAACUCAAAAAGCUCUUGAAACUGGAAAUCAGCCCUGCUAAAGUAUCAGACUCUGCUGUGUAUUACUGUGCUCUGAUGCCCACAGUGACAGGAAACUCUUUUCCUCAGUACAUGAUCUUUCUGCAUAUUAUUGUUUAACAAGCACAUGUAUUCUGUGUGUUGUUUCUGUAACUGAAUCAUCCAUCAGUAACACAAGAAUCUCAAUAAAGUAGGCCUAC